AUUGAACGCUGGCGGCAGGCCUAACACAUGCAAGUCGGGCGCGCGGCUGACGGGUGAGUAAUGUAUGGGGCUCUGCCUGCUGGAGGGGGAUCACUACUGGAAACGGUAGCUAAUACCGCAUACCAUCAGAUGUGCCCCGAUGGGAUUAGCUAGUAGGUGGGGUAAUGGCUCACCUAGGCGACGAUCCCUAGCUGGUCGGAGAGGAUGACCAGCCACACGGGAACUGAGACACGGUCCAGACGCCUACGGGAGGCAGCAGUGGGGAAUAUUGCACAAUGGGCGCAAGCCUGAUGCAGCCAUGCCGCGUGUAUGAAGAAGGCCUUCGGGUUGUAAAGUACUUUCAGCGAGGAGGCGUUACUCGCAGAAGAAGCACCGGCUAACUCCGUGCCAGCAGCCGCGGUAAUUC
Molecule: ribosomal RNA, 406 nt
Filed under: uncultured bacterium
Lineage: Bacteria
Description: partial 16S ribosomal RNA
Rfam family: Bacterial small subunit ribosomal RNA
Source: RNAcentral